GUGCUUGCUUUGGCAGCACAUAUACUAAAAUUGUAAUGACAUAGAGAAGAUUAGUGUGGCCCCUGCGCAAGGAUGACACACAAAUUUGUGAAGCAUUCCACAUUUAA
This is a small nuclear RNA of Lemur catta (Ring-tailed lemur), 107 nucleotides long. NCBI's taxonomy places the organism in Eukaryota, Metazoa, Chordata, Mammalia, Primates, Lemuridae. The record is from RefSeq and is a predicted model, not a curated record.